AUGCAGUCGAGGGGCAGCAUAAUGGAUAGCAAUAUCUAUGGUGGCGACCGGCGCACGGGUGCGUAACGCGUAUGCAACCUACCUUUAACAGGGGGAUAACACUGAGAAAUUGGUACUAAUACCCCAUAAUAUCAUAGAAGGCAUCUUUUAUGGUUGAAAAUUCCGAUGGUUAGAGAUGGGCAUGCGUUGUAUUAGCUAGUUGGUGGGGUAACGGCUCACCAAGGCGACGAUACAUAGGGGGACUGAGAGGUUAACCCCCCACACUGGUACUGAGACACGGACCAGACUCCUACGGGAGGCAGCAGUGAGGAAUAUUGGUCAAUGGACGCAAGUCUGAACCAGCCAUGCCGCGUGCAGGAUGACGGCUCUAUGAGUUGUAAGCUGCUUUUGUACGAGGGUAAACGCAGAUACGUGUAUCUGUCUGAAAGUAUCGUACGAAUAAGGAUCGGCUAACUCCGUGCCAGCAGCCGCGGUAAUACGGAGGAUUCAAGCGUUAUCCGGAUUUAUUGGGUUUAAAGGGUGCGUAGGCGGUUUGAUAAGUUAGAGGUGAAAUUUCGGGGCUCAACCCUGAACGUGCCUCUAAUACUGUUGAGCUAGAGAGUAGUUGCGGUAGGCGGAAUGUAUGGUGUAGCGGUGAAAUGCUUAGAGAUCAUACAGAACACCGAUUGCGAAGGCAGCUUACCA
This 684-nucleotide ribosomal RNA is filed under the name uncultured bacterium. Its description in RNAcentral is "bacterial SSU rRNA". It matches the Rfam family "Bacterial small subunit ribosomal RNA", at positions 55 to 731 of the family's 1533-position model. The record is from RNAcentral.